RNAcentral lists this ribosomal RNA (481 nucleotides) under uncultured bacterium. Its description in RNAcentral is "partial 16S ribosomal RNA". It matches the Rfam family "Bacterial small subunit ribosomal RNA", at positions 28 to 507 of the family's 1533-position model. The record is from RNAcentral.
GAUGAACGCUGGCGGCGUGCUUAACACAUGCAAGUCGAACGAAGCACUUUAUUUGAUUUCCUUCGGGACUGAUUAUUUUGUGACUGAGUGGCGGACGGGUGAGUAACGCGUGGGUAACCUGCCUUGUACAGGGGGAUAACAGUUGGAAACGGCUGCUAAUACCGCAUAAGCGCACGGCAUCGCAUGAUGCUGUGUGAAAAACUCCGGUGGUAUAAGAUGGACCCGCGUUGGAUUAGCUAGUUGGUGAGGUAACGGCCCACCAAGGCGACGAUCCAUAGCCGACCUGAGAGGGUGCCCGGCCACAUUGGGACUGAGACACGGCCCAAACUCCUACGGGAGGCAGCAGUGGGGAAUAUUGCACAAUGGGCGAAAGCCUGAUGCAGCGACGCCGCGUGAGCGAAGAAGUAUUUCGGUAUGUAAAGCUCUAUCAGCAGGGAAGAUAAUGACGGUACCUGACGAAGAAGCACCGGCUAAAUACGUG